This 1263-nucleotide ribosomal RNA is filed under the name Triticum aestivum (bread wheat). RNAcentral's name for it is "partial small subunit ribosomal RNA". The record is from RNAcentral. Lineage: Eukaryota; Viridiplantae; Streptophyta; Magnoliopsida; Poales; Poaceae.
AUGAGAGAUAUGCAAAGCAAUUCUAGACUGGAAUCUGAUGAGACUCCUGAACCUGCUAUUCUGAUGGAAUAUUAUGAACAUAAAAGUGAUAAUAUUUCCAUGGAGGAUGACGAGGAAGCUCCUGUUAGGAGCAAGAGACAGAGGACUGCAAAGUCCUUUGGUGAUGAUUUCCUCGUGUACCUCGUGGAUGAUGAUACUCCCAGCUCCAUUUUAGAAGCUUAUGCAUCUCCGGAUGCUGACUACUGGAAGGAUGCGGUCCGUAGUGAGAUGGAUUCCAUCUUGGCUAACGGGACAUGGGAGAUCACUGAUCGUCCUUAUGGUUGUCGACCAUUAGGAUGUAAGUGGGUGUUCAAAAGGAAGCUUAGGCCCGAUGGUACUGUUGAGAAGUACAAGGCUAGGCUUGUGGCCAAGGGUUAUACCCAGAAAGAAGAAGAGGAUUUCUUUGACACUUAUUCACCUGUGGCUAGACUGACAACCAUUCGAGUGUUACUCGCUUUGGCUGCCUCGCAUGGUCUUCUCGUUCAUCAGAUGGACGUUAAGACGGCUUUCCUCAACGGAGAGCUAGACGAGGAAAUUUACAUGCAACAGCCGGAUGGCUUUGUAGUAAAUGUUCAGGAAGGUAAGGUGUGUAAGCUAGUGAAAUCUUUGUAUGGCCUGAAACAAGCGCCUAAGCAAUGGCAUGAGAAGUUCAACAGUACUCUGACAUCUGCUGGCUUUGUUGUGAACAAAGCUGACAAAUGUGUAUACUAUCGCUAUGGUGGGGGCGAAGGAUUUAUACUGUGUCUAUAUGUCGAUGACAUACUGAUAUUUGGGACCCACCUCAAGGUCAUUGAGGAGGUCAAGUCUUUUCUAUCUCACAACUUUGAGAUGAAGGACCUGGGUGUGGCUGAUGUUAUCCUGAACAUAAAGCUACUAAGAAAUUCUGAGGGUGGAAUUACACUUUUGCAAUCCCACUAUGUUGAGAAGAUUUUGAGCCGUUUUGGAUAUUCGGACUGCAAACCUUCUGCAACACCAUAUGAUCCUAGCGUGCGGAUUCAAAAGUUCGAAGGCACGGCUGUAGAUCAAUUGAGAUAUUCUCUAGUGGUUGGUUCACUGAUGUACCUAGCAUGUGCUACUCGUCCUGACAUCUCGUUUGCUGUGUGCAAACUGAGCCGGUUUGUUUCCAAUCCGGGAGAUGUGCACUGGCAUGCUAUUGAGCGAGUGAUGCAUUAUUUGCAAGGUACUACGAACUAUGGAAUUCACUAUUCUGGGUACCCGACGGUA